GGUGCAGGAUGGGCCCGCGGCCUAUCAGCUUGUUGGUGGGGUAAUGGCCUACCAAGGCGACGACGGGUAGCCGACCUGAGAGGGUGACCGGCCACACUGGGACUGAGACACGGCCCAGACUCCUACGGGAGGCAGCAGUGGGGAAUAUUGCACAAUGGGCGAAAGCCUGAUGCAGCGACGCCGCGUGAGGGAUGACGGCCUUCGGGUUGUAAACCUCUUUCAGCAGGGACGAAGCGAAAGUGACGGUACCUGCAGAAGAAGCACCGGCCAACUACGUGCCAGCAGCCGCGGUAAUACGUAGGGUGCGAGCGUUGUCCGGAAUUACUGGGCGUAAAGAGUUCGUAGGCGGUUUGUCGCGUCGUCUGUGAAAACCCACCGCUCAACGGUGGGCCUGCAGGCGAUACGGGCAGACUUGAGUACUGCAGGGGAGACUGGAAUUCCUGGUGUAGCGGUGAAAUGCGCAGAUAUCAGGAGGAACACCGGUGGCGAAGGCGGGUCUCUGGGCAGUAACUGACGCUGAGGAACGAAAGCGUGGGUAGCAAACAGGAUUAGAUACCCUGGUAGUCCACGCCGUAAACGGUGGGCGCUAGGUGUG
RNAcentral lists this ribosomal RNA (595 nucleotides) under Rhodococcus sp. (in: high G+C Gram-positive bacteria). RNAcentral describes it as "bacterial SSU rRNA". It matches the Rfam family "Bacterial small subunit ribosomal RNA", at positions 217 to 824 of the family's 1533-position model. The record is from RNAcentral. Lineage: Bacteria; Bacillati; Actinomycetota; Actinomycetes; Mycobacteriales; Nocardiaceae.